This is a non-coding RNA of Meleagris gallopavo (turkey), 3542 nucleotides long. Lineage: Eukaryota; Metazoa; Chordata; Aves; Galliformes; Phasianidae. The record is from RefSeq and is a predicted model, not a curated record.
ACUAAUCUGGAAAAAUUAAAAUCAUCCUCCAACAGCAAUUUGGCUUUUGCAAGAAGCAUAAAUCUAAGCGAAACCUUCUUCUAAGGUAAUAUUACUGUGAUAUUCUGAUAUUCUGAAACAGAUCUCAUCUUGUGGGAUUGCUGGGUUUUGUGACACACCAUAAUAGGAGGUAGGAGGUCAGAGGACUAUUAUGACACAUGUAUAAUGCCCAUGUAGCAGAUGGGAGAAACAGGGAGUGCUCAAGCUAGUGUACCCAGUAAUUUUAGGUGCUGUGAUUAAAUGCUGAGCCUGGCAUCUCUGGAAUAGCAUCCGCUGGGCCCAGGAGGAGCUCUCAGCUUUCUGAUUCAGAUGGAAGAGUGCUUUGUGUCUUCCUAAACGAAGGUCCAGAUCCUGGUCUGGUUGGCUGACAGUGAUGUGCUGUGUGCCAGACUCUCCCUCGGGCUUUAUGAGAAGCGCGUUUGACUGUCUGGAUCUGAGAACGCUUUCAAAUUUGAACAAGGCACUUCUCUCACAGUCCCCAGCCCUGAGGAUUUCAGCUUGCAAGAUGGGUGCUGGCUAGCUGAAGGGCAGUGAUUUUCAAUGCUGUUUGUCUUUUGACUAGGAUCUGGAAAUGAGCAGAUGCUGUUGAUUGCACAGCGAUGACUGAGAGGUGGAAAAGGGGUGGAGGAGCACCCAUCUUCCCCACUUUCAGCUUGGCCUGGGUUCACAACAGCACAGCAUAGACAACAUAAUUAAGGUGCACGGAUGACUUUUGCACAACUGGUUCCUUGGCACUGGAUCCGUGGUUUAUUUCUCCCUGGCUUUUAAGGUUAAAAUGCUGGAUGAUGUCAGCAGAUGCUGUCAGGUACUCAAAGUAUUUCAGUUUCAGACCACAGUGGUACAUCCAUAGUCAUUUCCAAAUGUUCGUAUAAGGCCCCCAGUAGGAGACUCAUUCUGUAUGGUCCUGCACUUUGUUUUCUUUGAAGAGGCUGAAAACUCCUGUGUUUGCUGUGUACAAUUUUCAUCUUCAGUGGCACAGCAUAUCAUUGAUCCUUUCUUCCACCUUGCAGAGAUUUCUGCUCUCUUAUCUUAUUCUGCGGUGGAUGAACCAAGAUUUGAGCAGUUCCCUUGCGUACUUCUGUUUAUAGUAUAUUUAUUGGAGUGAGCAGCCUCUGCCAUUUAUUACAACCUGUAUUUGUUCAGGUUAUACUCACCAUAGAGCUGUUGUCAAUAUUUGACUCUGUUGACCAUACAGAUUGAGAGCGAUGCGUUUCCAAUUACUUGUAAGGAUGUUCAGAAUGGUUUGUUUUUUCCUGUCUCAAAAUGGCCAGGUGCUCAGAGUCCUUUACAAAGCUGUAGCAAUUUGCUAUUCACUGCUUAAGACUUCUUCUUUUGGGGCUUAAAAAGAUGUGUGUGGUGCUGUGCUUACAUUUGCUGUACUGAGAACAUGGACAGAGCUACCCUGCAAAACACCAGUCACAGCAAGACAAACCAGCAAAUUGUCUCUGGCCUUUGGCUGGGUUUGCCUUUACACCCUGGUGAGAUGAAUUUACAUUUCUCAGCCUUAUUUUUAUAUGAUUCAUGUUUGUUCUACAAAACCACAUUGUCUGUGGAAUCAGCCUGGCAUUUGUAGUACUUAGACUUCAUUAGGGGCUCAGUGUGAUUGUAUCCUGAGUUUAUUAUAUAAAACACUUUUUGGCUGAAGUCUUGAAUUUUCCAUCUUAUAUACCAAACCAUAGAUUUUCUGAGGCAAACACGGCUAUGAACAGACUCUGCUCACUCGAAGAAUGGGGAACUGGGGGAGGAGUGCACAGGGCCUACACGUAUCUGGAAAAAGAAUGUGAAGGAAGAAGAUCCUGUUUGCUUCUCCGAUGCACUUUGAAAUCCUCAGUGCCCGUGGCUGAAGGCACUUGUUUAUUGGCAUCAUCUUCCAAAUACUUUGCUGUAAGUAAUGCUUUCAUAGGAAGUAAAGUACUGCUGUAUGAAGUUCUGCUGUUGUGGCUCAUUCCUGGCAAAUGUAACUCGUGGAGUUGUGAUUUCUUAACGAAGGAAAAAUCCUUCCUUAUUUCUAAUCUAAAAAAAAUAUAUAUAUAUAUAUAUAUGACAUUGUAUUUACAAAUAUUGAAGAUUAAAAGAGUAUUUUAUAUCUUGGCCAAACAUAAUAAUUUGAUUGUACUUCUUUAAACAAAUAUUUCAACUGUUUUUUGGCUUCUGUUUCUACAGUUUUAGUUCUGCAUCAAUAACAUGCACUGACUGUAAGGAGAAGAAUCUUCUCCAAUCCCUGUCUUUGUUAAUAUCAGAGUUAUUUAAUCUAUACACACUACAUAGCCCUACAAUAAAAAUUGCAUAGUUGCAAGUAUGCCAUUCACCUUCUGGGACAGCAGAAGCUUGAAAACUAAAUGACUGUGUUCAGUACAGCAAGGCCUCACCUUUCGUUGCUCCCAAAGAAUCACAAAAAGUGUGCAUCAAACCUGUUAGAGGUUUCUUGAGUGGUAAAAUAGUCAUUUCAUAGCUGCAUCUAAAUUACAGGGUGGGUGUGCUGCAUCCUGUGUGCCACAUAUUUGAGCUUGUCCUUGCCCCAGCCAGGAGUCGACCCAGCUCUAGUCCCACCUGGCCAUGUGGGUUUUGUUCUUGUUCUCAAGGUUCUCUGUCUGCAUUUUCCAUGACAUUAAUCUUAUUGCUAAUCUUGCUUCCUGGCUUGCACGUCUCUCUGGGUCAUCUCUGCUUUAUAUGGAGUUUGGAGUCUGUUCAUUUCUGGCCAUCCUAAUUCUUCACCUUUGCCAGGUUGCUUCAUGAGGCUGAAGGAGAAUGUGCUUUUCUAUUGUCAGUGCAGAAACUGGCUCAUCCCAGAUCCAUCUUUGCCUUCUCAAUGCUCCUUCUUCUGGGGUUGAGGAGCAUCCAAAUGCUGGGUGAUUAUUUCUUUGUCUUCCUUGCAUUUUGAACUGUCUAAUUAAAAUGAAUUAAAGAUAAUAAAAGCGAGCAGUACUUUUAAGACCCACAUCCUGGUAGUCUGACUCUGCUAUUACUCAUAUAUUUUUGAAGUUAGUUUGCUUCUUCUAGGGUUUCUUAGCCAGUAGUAUUAUAAAGUGAGAGACAGACUGACAGAGUUGUAGCUUGAUGUCACUGUAAUUAUUAUUAUUUCAUAUGUAGCCUUUAAUGUGAAGAACUGGAAGGGUAGACUCCCAGUUUAACCUAAGUCCAUGCAUAUGUCCCUUACUGAAGUGUACCAAGUCAGGAGGCUGCUAGCAGAGUUAAGAAUAUGUAUAUCAGUGGUUUCCUGAACUGGGGAGCACUUUUUUCCCAUCAUAAUGUAAUAUUUUGCACAACCAAAACACAUAGGUCGAAAGGCCAGAAAAUCAGUACAAGCUGUAACACUCUUGUAGGGGAGGGGUAGGUGGAAACAAAACCUAAAACCAUUCAUACAUUUUAAAUGGUUUCCCCUCCUCCAUUCAUGCAAUGAUACAGAACAGCUGGUCAUGAAACCUGGCUGCAUAUUUGUAAAAUGGGAACAGAUUACUAAAUCAAAUUUGUUGACCAAUUUUCAAGUAUGUGGCCUUGAGAUA